CUGGCGCUGCCCGGUGCCCGGUGCGUGCGUGCAUGAACACAAGAGAACAAAAAGAGAUCGUCUCCACAAGGGAGAGAAACAAAGGGAAAAGGGCGAAAAGGAAAUCGUGAUCUUGUCGCACUUGCCACCCAUUUCCGCGAUGUCGUGGUAUGAUCUACUAACAUCGGAUCCGGUGGUGAUACUUUGCGGAUGUAAAGAGAGCUUCGCCGUGGCCGAAUCAAGAAGAAAUUUCCGGCUUUUGUGCAGUAGCAAAAUACAUG
Molecule: long non-coding RNA, 260 nt
Filed under: Setaria italica (foxtail millet)
Lineage: Eukaryota; Viridiplantae; Streptophyta; Magnoliopsida; Poales; Poaceae
Description: long non-coding RNA (SITA_LNC002238)
Source: RNAcentral